RNAcentral lists this transfer RNA (74 nucleotides) under Capsicum annuum. It matches the Rfam family "tRNA". From Rfam's summary of the family: Transfer RNA (tRNA) molecules are approximately 80 nucleotides in length. Their secondary structure includes four short double-helical elements and three loops (D, anti-codon, and T loops). The record is from Rfam by way of RNAcentral. Lineage: Eukaryota; Viridiplantae; Streptophyta; Magnoliopsida; Solanales; Solanaceae.
GGUGACGUGGUGUAGUUGGUUAUCACAUCAGUCUCACACACUGAAGGUCUCCAAUUCAAGUCCGGGCGCCGCCA